This 245-nucleotide ribosomal RNA is filed under the name uncultured bacterium. RNAcentral's name for it is "partial 16S ribosomal RNA". It matches the Rfam family "Bacterial small subunit ribosomal RNA", at positions 524 to 768 of the family's 1533-position model. The record is from RNAcentral.
UACGUAGGUGGCAAGCGUUGUUCGGAAUUACUAGGCGUAAAGGGCGUGUAGGUGGGAAGGUAAAUCACAUGUGAAAGCUCCGAGCUUAACUUGGAGAGGUCAUGUGAAAUUGCUUUUCUUGAGUGUGGGAGAGGGAACUGGAAUUUCUGGUGUAGCGGUGAAAUGCGUAGAGAUCAGAAGGAAUACCAAUGGCGAAGGCAGGUUCCUGGCCCAAUACUGACACUGAAGCGCGAAAGCUAGGGGAG